RNAcentral lists this ribosomal RNA (1391 nucleotides) under Triticum aestivum (bread wheat). RNAcentral's name for it is "partial small subunit ribosomal RNA". The record is from RNAcentral. Lineage: Eukaryota; Viridiplantae; Streptophyta; Magnoliopsida; Poales; Poaceae.
AUGCGAAAAAUGUACUCCGUACAAGUCAAAUUAGAUGUAUGCGAAAAAUGUACAAGUCCGCUGGACAAGGCACCUGGUGUGCCCGACGGAUUUACCGGCAGAUUUUACAAGUCCUACUUGGAUAUCAUCAGGUGGAUGUGAUGCGAGCGAUCAAGGCUUCUCUCGAGAGCGCUUUGGCAAAUCGUGUUGGCCACUAAUAGGCGCCGGUGCGCCGGCCGAAAGUUUCGGCCGGUCGCACGUACCCCAUCCGAUUUCACGAAAAAUAGCUGUCAGAUAUACUCCUGCUUAGUUUCCAACUUAGUAGGGGAAAAAAUCCCCUCGCCCUUGAUUCAUCAUGCGCAUCCGCUGCAGCUCCGGUCACCCGCCCUCUCCGGCCACCCUCCCUCACCGCAGGACGGCCCUCGCCGCCUGUCGCACUUGUCCGCCCCAACCACGGGUCGCAGCUUUCCUCUCCCCUUCUCUCCCACCGAUGCCGUGGUAGCCAUGUCCCACGCUAAAUCUUCGACGAAGCUGUUGCAACUCCAUUGUGGGCAGGUUGCAGCUCGAUAAAUUCCUGAGAAAACUGCCAGAGACGAAUUGCGGCUCUGCCACCCAUGGUUGCAACACCAAAAAAGCGUUGACAACUCCUUCGUCAGUGGUCACACGACAUUGCAGCUUCGCCCAAAAACAAGAGGUUCCAGCAUCCCGCAAAGCCGGUUGUAGCAAACAAAAAGGCUACAUCCAGCAAAAAAUCAAAGCAACAAAAAAUCCAGCACUCGGUUGAAGCAGAAAAAAAUGCCGGUUCCAGCAAAAUUGAAAUACGGUGGUAGCAAAUUUUGAGGCUGGUUCCAGCAAAAAUAAAAAAGGAUGAAGCAAAAAAUGCAAAAAUUGGGCGAUGUUCCAACAAGCCGAAAAAACCAGAGAUAGCAAACAUUGAAGUGGUUCCAGCAAACCAAAACGCCAUUGGAAACAAAUAUGCAAAAGUUGGACGUUUGGUUCUGCAAAAUGCAAAAAUGUUCGGUUGUAGCAAAAAAUUGAUCUAGUUCCAGCAAACCAAAAUGCCGGUGGUAGCAAAUUGCAAAAGUUGGCAUUGGUUUCAGCAAAAUCGAAAACGGCGGUGGUAGCAAAAUUUUGUGCUGGUUCCAGCAAACCUAAUAAGCGGUGGUAGCAAACUUGGGUGCUGGUCCCAGCAUCUCGCUGCCGUAGUUGUAGCACUCACCGCGUUACUAGUCCAGGGCGCCGUUGCAGCUCGCCAGGCGCCGCUGCAGCAACCCGCUCGCCGGAUUCUGUUACCAGGAGAUGGAUCUACUGCCUUUUGGCUCGCCUAAGGAGAGGAGGGGAGGGGAAAAGGUUCAGCGGAGGAGUAACACCGGCGAGGGAGGUGGAAUAGGAGGAGAAAGAGAAACGUCUUG